CCAUGAAAUUAGAUAGAGACGAUAAGGGAAGCUACUAGGAUAUUUCCCAUUGGUCGAUUAAUGGUGAAUACCGAUAUUUUUUUUCUUAUUUUCAAAAUUUUUUGGUUAGUGUUUCGACUACUAAUAAUGUUUUUUUUUGGUUUUUUAUGUGAUGGUGAAUGAUUCAUGGAUUAGGGGAGUAAAUGGAAAAUAAGUCUUACUUUAGAGUCUUAUUGGAUCCACCAUUUGAUCUCGAUUUGGUGUCUAUAAUUUUUUUUAUUUGUGAUCUUCAAAUAUAUAUGAUAUGGC
Molecule: long non-coding RNA, 288 nt
Filed under: Linum usitatissimum (flax)
Lineage: Eukaryota; Viridiplantae; Streptophyta; Magnoliopsida; Malpighiales; Linaceae
Description: long non-coding RNA (LUSI_LNC005847)
Source: RNAcentral